UGGGGAAUUUUGGACAAUGGGGGAAACCCUGAUCCAGCCAUCCCGCGUGUGCGAUGAAGGCCUUCGGGUUGUAAAGCACUUUUGGCAGGAAAGAAACGUCAUGGGUUAAUACCCCGUGAAACUGACGGUACCUGCAGAAUAAGCACCGGCUACCUACGUGCCAGCAGCCGCGGUAAUACGUAGGGUGCAAGCGUUAAUCGGAAUUACUGGGCGUAAAGCGUGCGCAGGCGGUUCGGAAAGAAAGAUGUGAAAUCCCAGAGCUUAACUUUGGAACUGCAUUUUUAACUACCGGGCUAGAGUGUGUCAGAGGGAGGUGGAAUUCCGCGUGUAGCAGUGAAAUGCGUAGAUAUGCGGAGGAACACCGAUGGCGAAGGCAGCCUCCUGGGAUAACACUGACGCUCAUGCACGAAAGCGUGGGGAGCAAACAGG
Molecule: ribosomal RNA, 429 nt
Filed under: Gemmatimonadota bacterium
Lineage: Bacteria; Pseudomonadati; Gemmatimonadota
Description: Gemmatimonadetes bacterium partial 16S ribosomal RNA
Rfam family: Bacterial small subunit ribosomal RNA
Source: RNAcentral